AACAACUUGGUUGUUCCUCCACUGGGAUUCCAAAUCUUAUUCGGACACUCACUUUCACUAUCGUAUCUUGUUGCAUAAACUUUUGUAAAUGCUUAUUAAUUAGUUUGCAUUUAUGCCCAUAGUAUGUACUAGAUAUAAAGUACAAUGAAAGUUUUGAACCAAACAAGCUAAAACAAAUUACAUAAGUUCUUAAGCAUUCUUAAUAACAUUUUGAUUCGAUUUAUUUACUUAGUGAACUUUGAACUUUUUCACUCUCUUAGUGAUAUGUAGUUAUCACAAAGCCCAUGCAUCUUUUCCAAGGGUAUAAAGUCUCGGUCCAAGAUCUCAUCUUCUAUGAGCUAUUAUACUACAAGAAAACAAACGAUUGUUUUGCACUUCCCUUGCGAAUGUCGUUUUGCGAGGGAUUAUUUUCUUCCAUUGCAAAAUAUUGGUUUUCUUAUAGUGUUAGAAUCAACCAAUCAAAACUAUGUUUAUUUAAUAACUCGAGAGCGAUUUGAGUGUGAACUAAAUUGGUCACAUACUUUAUUGAACUAUUUCAUACAGGUGUCCCAAAGGAUAGCAUGAGCAUCUUUACCAUGUAAUUUCUCCAUCAAAUUUUGAUCUUCUCAACCCAAGACAUCAAUAUCAUCAGGAAAAAUACUCAUUCUAUUAUUAGAGUUAAAUUCACUUUUAUUUUUGCAAACAAACAAAGACCAAUAGUUGUACAAUAAAACAUCUAUUCACUUUUGUUUUCUCACUCUCUUUUAAUGAUAAAUAAUUCCGACAAAGCCCAUACAUCUUUUCGGAUGGUAUAAACUCUGGGUUCAAGAUCUCAUCUCCAACAAGCUGUUAGAAUCAACCAAUCAAAAGUAUGUUUAUGAGUAUAACUGAAAGCUUAACAACUCGAAAGAGAUUUGAUUGUGAACUAACUUGGUCAAAUACUUUAUCGACCCAUUUCAUACAGGUGUUACAAAGGAUGGCUGAAGUAUAUGGCUAUUUGAAAUCUUAUUAAAAAUCUUAGUGAUUUCUUAUCGUUAGAUGGAAAAACAAAUAUAGUAAUUUCGGGCUCCGUUAUCAUUGUGGUCUAAAAGAGUAUUCUUUACUCGUGAAGAUAUCAA
RNAcentral lists this small RNA (1097 nucleotides) under Arabidopsis thaliana (thale cress). RNAcentral describes it as "ATSL212140". Lineage: Eukaryota; Viridiplantae; Streptophyta; Magnoliopsida; Brassicales; Brassicaceae. The record is from RNAcentral.